GGCGGCGCUGCGGGCAGGCGGGCGCAGACAGCCGGGCAGGCGGGCGGGCGGCCCUUCGCGCCGGUAGGCGCGGCACCUGCGGGCAGAAGCAUCGGCUGCGCAGAGCCCAGACGACCCGACUCCGAGCUGCCGCUGAGAUGAGCGCAGUGUCGGAGCCCCAGGCUGCCCACAGUGCCCCGGAGAAGCCGGCCAGCACGGCGAUCCUGUGUAACACCUGCGGGAACGUGUGCAGGGGGGAGGUGCUGCGGGUGCAGAGCAAGUACUUCCACAUCCAGUGCUUCGUCUGCAAAGAAUGCGGCUGUGACCUGGCCGAGGGCGGCUUCUUCGUGCGGCAGGGCGAGUACAUCUGCACCCAGGACUACCAGAGACUGUACGGGACCCGCUGCUUCAGCUGCGAUCAGUUCAUCGAGGGCGAGGUGGUGUCGGCGCUGGGCAAGACCUACCACCCAAACUGCUUCGUGUGUGCCGUCUGCCGGUUGCCCUUCCCGCCCGGGGACCGAGUGACCUUCAACGGCAAGGAAUGCAUGUGCCAGAAGUGCUCCCUGCCCACCUCAGCGGGCAGCAGCGUGCCCCUGUCCCAGGGCCUCUGGAGUUGCAAGGGCUGCGGAGUGGAGAUUAAAAACGGCCAGUCCCUGGUGGCCCUGGAGAAACACUGGCAUCUGGGCUGUUUCAAGUGCAAGACGUGCGGGAAACAACUGAACGCGGAGUAUAUCAGCAAGGAUGGGCUGCCCUACUGUGAGGCGGACUAUCACAGCAAGUUCGGGAUCCGCUGCGAUGGCUGUGAGAAGUACAUCACGGGGCACGUGCUGGAGGCGGGGGAGAAGCACUUCCACCCUCUGUGUGCGCUAUGUGUCGGGUGCGGCCGGAUGUUCGCGGAAGGCGAGGAGAUGUAUCUGCAAGGCUCCUCCAUCUGGCACCCGGCAUGUCGACAGGCAGCCAGAACUGAAGACAAAAGCAAGGAAACCAGAACCUCUUCAGAGAGCAUCAUUUCCGUCCCUGCUUCCAGCACCUCAGGGUCUCCGAGCCGCGUGAUUUAUGCCAAGCUGGGUGAUGAGAUCCUUGACUACAGAGACCUGGCCGCUCUCCCUAAGAACAAGGCCAUCUACAGCAUCGACCGCCCCGACAUGAUCUCCUACUCGCCCUUCAUCAGCCACUCGGUGGGGGACAGGCAGAGCUGCAGCGAGUCCCCACGGCUGCUCUCGCCGACGCCGCCCGAGGGGUAUCAGGAUGACCGCUCCUACAAGCAGUGCCGGACCUCCAGCCCGAGCUCCACCGGGUCGGUCAGCCUCGGCCGUUACACCCCGACCUUGCGGUCGCCCCAGCACUACAGCCGUCCAGCUGGUACUGUGAGUGUUGGUACCAGUAGCUGCCUGUCCCUGUCCCAACACCCAAGCCCUACCUCCGUGUUCAGACAUCAUUACAUCCCCUACUUCCGAGGCAGUGAAAGUGGCCGGAGCACCUCCAGCCUCUCCGUGCUCUCAGACAACAAGCCUCCCCCCUCCACCUACCAGCAGGCUCCUCGCCACUUCCACGUCCCAGACACUGGCGUCAAAGAUAACAUCUAUAGGAAACCCCCCAUCUACAAGCAGCAUGGUCCUGUAGCCCAAUCCCCAAUUUCCAAGCUCUCGGGCCUGAUGUCAGUCUUGUCCUUGGUGGUGCACAAGGCAGGGUGCUCCAAAAGGCUAGAAGGUCCGAGCCCUCCGCAGGCUGCAGCCGGGCGGCGAUCAGAUGGGGAGGACGGAAGUUUCGACGCGGAUAACAGGAAGCAGAAGACCAACUGGCUGCUUCUCAAGGGGGACGGAGACACUAGGACCAACUCUCCAGACCUAGACAGCCAGUCUUUGGCCCACAGUAGCGGGACUGAUAGAGGUCCUCUCCAAACGAUGCCAGGGGACAACAUUUACUCACGGUUCCCCUAUUCCAAGUCUGACCCUGUCCCAGGACAUGGCAAGAAUGGCUUGGACAACCGGAAUGCCAAUCUGGCCCCUUGUGGAGCAGACCUGGAUGCCAGCUGGGGCACGCGAGAAUACAAGGUAAGAGGGGCCGCCCGCUCCCGCGCUGACCUCCUGCACCUGCCCAGGUUAAAAGUUCCUUUUGUGCUUUCCCUGUGAAGUGUGUGUGUCAGAUGCAGACGCAAAUCUAUCCUUAUGACGCCCUCAUCGUCACAAACCGAAUCCGCGUGAAGCUGCCUAAAGACGUGGACCGGACGAGACUGGAGAGACACUUGUCGCCCGAGGAGUUCCAGGAAGUGUUUGGGAUGAGCAUGGAAGAGUUUGACCGCCUGGCCCUCUGGAAGAGGAACGACCUCAAGAAGAAAGCCCUGCUGUUUUGACGCGCCGAGGCCCUGACCACGGGCAUGCCUGCGGGAGCCACCAGACCCCUCCUCUUGCACUUGGCUUCGGCUUCUCUAUGUCCACGGUGGACGGUGGGCGCCUGGAAGGGCCGGGCUGGGGCCUGGGGUGGGGAGGAGGUCCCAGAGCAGGUGCAGCCCCCCCCCACCCCCGUUUCUGCCAGCAGUGCUCCCGCCCGUAGUUUAGGGCCCAGACGCCUGGCUUUGCACUACUCCUUCCCCGCUGUUGCUUGCCAUCACGGAGAUGCUGCAAGGUCACUGCCCCGGAGAUGGGGGAACAGACAAGGGCAGCCCAGCCCCCAGGCCUCCGGGCAGUGCCCACCCCACGCUGGUAGGACAGAGGCGAUGGGACCGGAGAUUUGAGGAGGUCUGUCGAUGACAGGGUCAUGGGUGGGUGGGCGCACGGCGUGGCCCCCCUCACCCGCUCAGCCUCAGGAGGCACGGCCUGGCACACGGGCCCCCCACCCCCGAGGCAGGGGGAGUGCCACCCAGGGCUGCAAGAAGCAUGGGGCUCGGUUUUUACGGCCUUUGUGAUGAAUCGCUGUUUAGGGAGGAACUUCAGUCUAGACAGGCACCUUCUGCCAGGGCCCGCCGUGCACUGCAUUUUUCUUCCAGAUCAUCCCUUAGAUGCCUAAAUGAUAUCUUUAGAGUAACACAAAAGUUUUUAUUUUAUUAAAAAGUAGAGCCUA
Molecule: RNA transcript, 3039 nt
Organism: Globicephala melas (long-finned pilot whale)
Lineage: Eukaryota; Metazoa; Chordata; Mammalia; Artiodactyla; Delphinidae
Gene: ABLIM2
Gene name: actin binding LIM protein family member 2
Source: RefSeq, a predicted model, not a curated record